UUCGGCCUCGCACUGAUUCUCCAGUGCCCCCUGCACGCCCGUCGCCGCAUUCCAAUUCGAAUUCAGUACGCGAUCAUUCGCCUCCCGCGGCGCGGC
This is a non-coding RNA of Pseudomonas putida, 96 nucleotides long. Lineage: Bacteria; Pseudomonadati; Pseudomonadota; Gammaproteobacteria; Pseudomonadales; Pseudomonadaceae. The record is from Rfam.